RNAcentral lists this unclassified non-coding RNA (20 nucleotides) under Chlamydomonas reinhardtii. RNAcentral describes it as "small RNA Cre_3879". The record is from RNAcentral. Lineage: Eukaryota; Viridiplantae; Chlorophyta; Chlorophyceae; Chlamydomonadales; Chlamydomonadaceae.
UUGACGCAUGUGUAGGCUGG